RNAcentral lists this small nuclear RNA (103 nucleotides) under Schistocephalus solidus. Lineage: Eukaryota; Metazoa; Platyhelminthes; Cestoda; Diphyllobothriidea; Diphyllobothriidae. The record is from RNAcentral.
UUGCUUCGGUGGUAGAUAUACUAAAAUUGGAACGAUACAGCGUAGAUUAGCAUGGCCCCUGCGCCAGGACGGUACCUACAAUAGUGCAAUUGAAAUACAUGUU